Molecule: ribosomal RNA, 501 nt
Filed under: uncultured bacterium
Lineage: Bacteria
Description: partial 16S ribosomal RNA
Rfam family: Bacterial small subunit ribosomal RNA
Source: RNAcentral
AUUGAACGCUGGCGGCAGGCUUAACACAUGCAAGUCGAGCGGAGAUGAGGUGCUUGCACCUUAUCUUAGCGGCGGACGGGUGAGUAAUGCUUAGGAAUCCGCCUAUUAGUGGGGGACAACAUUCUGAAAGGAAUGCUAAUACCGCAUACGUCCUACGGGAGAAAGCAGGGGAUCUUCGGACCUUGCGCUAAUAGAUGAGCCUAAGUCGGAUUAGCUAGUUGGUGGGGUAAAGGCCUACCAAGGCGACGAUCUGUAGCGGGUCUGAGAGGAUGAUCCGCCACACUGGGACGGAGACACGGCCCAGACUCCUACGGGAGGCGGCAGUGGGGAAUAUUGGACAGUGGGGGAAACCCUGAUCCAGCCAUGCCGCGUGUGUGAAGAAGGCCUUAUGGUUGUAAAGCACUUUAAGCGAGGAGGAGGCUACUGAGACUAAUACUCUUGGAUAGUGGACGUUACUCGCAGAAUAAGCACCGGCUAACUCUGUGCCAGCCGCCGCAGUAA